UACGGAGGGGGCGAGCGUUGUUCGGAAUUACUGGGCGUAAAGCGCGCGUAGGCGGUCGUGUAAGUCGGAUGUGAAAGCCCUCAGCUCAACUGAGGAACUGCGUCCGAUACUGCUCGGCUUGAGUCCGGUAGGGGAUGGCAGAAUUCCCGGUGUAGCGGUGGAAUGCGUAGAUAUCGGGAGGAAUACCGAUGGCGAAGGCGGCCAUCUGGGCCGGAACUGACGCUGAGGCGCGAAAGCUAGGGGAGCAAACAGG
RNAcentral lists this ribosomal RNA (253 nucleotides) under uncultured bacterium. RNAcentral describes it as "partial 16S ribosomal RNA". It matches the Rfam family "Bacterial small subunit ribosomal RNA", at positions 524 to 776 of the family's 1533-position model. The record is from RNAcentral.